Molecule: microRNA, 22 nt
Filed under: Daphnia pulex (common water flea)
Lineage: Eukaryota; Metazoa; Arthropoda; Branchiopoda; Diplostraca; Daphniidae
Also listed under: 1 other name
Description: Dpu-Mir-96-P2-v1_3p* (star (passenger))
Source: RNAcentral
GUGGGUUCCCUGGUGCCAGAGA